Molecule: long non-coding RNA, 636 nt
Filed under: Manihot esculenta (cassava)
Lineage: Eukaryota; Viridiplantae; Streptophyta; Magnoliopsida; Malpighiales; Euphorbiaceae
Description: long non-coding RNA (MESC_LNC005774)
Source: RNAcentral
UCAAUUUGUGUUCCGUGAUUUUAGUCAUCAUAGGAAUCACAUCAGUUACGGUGGUGGUUUUCACUUCAACCAUGACAACAAACCCAAAACGACAGCAACAAAAGAAACACAGAAUCAGAAAACAGUACCCGGCGUGAACAGUACCACGUGCCGGUGAACAGUACUCGUGAACAGUGUCGAUGAACAGUACCGAUGAACAGUACCCGUGAACAGUCCGAUGAACAGUACUGAUAAAAACACCUCCCCCAAAACCCGAACGGCAAAUAAACCUCAGAUCUGACAAGGGAACGAUGUGGCGACUCCAGCGAUGGUGAGAUCCAAAUAUUACCCGUUAUGGGUAACUCAAAUAAACAGAGCCCUAAGUCUCCAAAAAAUUUUUUUUUUUUUUCUUAAAAAAAAACUUUGACGGGAGAGAAAAAUUAAAUCUCUACGAGAAAGGCUCUGAUACCAUGUAGAAGGAUAAUAUUUGUUGUAUUUCACAAUAGAGAUUACAAUCUAUUUAUACAUGAGAGAGGGUAUCUAAAUAGGAAGGAAAAUCAAGUCUAUGAUUAUACAAUCCCUAGGAUUAAGCAACUGACCCAUCUAUCAAUAUUUACUUCCUAUAUUAACAUAUUUACUUUCUAUAACUUAUAACAC